RNAcentral lists this long non-coding RNA (489 nucleotides) under Felis catus (domestic cat). Its description in RNAcentral is "lncRNA (ENSFCAG00000052130.1)". The record is from RNAcentral. Lineage: Eukaryota; Metazoa; Chordata; Mammalia; Carnivora; Felidae.
UAGGCCAAGCCUCCACACCGAGUUCAAAACAAUCAUUCUUUGAAGUUGUGUAUGUUCAGGAACAUUUCUUUCUUCCUUUAUAGGCUUACAGGGAUGAAAAUCUGUUAGAUGACACGCAACCUGCCCUUUCAAAGCUCCUCAAGGACCCUGGGGAUUUUGCAGCCAUCUGGAAUUUGCUGUCAUGCUGUGAUUUCUGCAGUUCCGUGUGACUCUUGACGACCAUUUAUGUGUCAGAUGACAUUUGUCUAUGAAGAAUUUCUCCUUCCUCUUCAUCCUCAAAUUCUCAUGCUAAGGCAACGGUUUUGCAGCUCAUCAAACACAAUGAACAUCUGUUCUUUCAAGUGUAGAGAAUCCUACAGAGAUUGAAGUGCAUUUGCUGACAAAUAUUUUAUGCAAUACAUCUUAGAUACUGUCUGGACUAUGACAUGACAUAUUUUUCAGUUCUCUUCCACAUUUAUUUCAUUUUUUUUCCAUUCUAUAACCAUCAUU